Molecule: ribosomal RNA, 253 nt
Filed under: uncultured bacterium
Lineage: Bacteria
Description: partial 16S ribosomal RNA
Rfam family: Bacterial small subunit ribosomal RNA
Source: RNAcentral
UACGGAAGGGGCAAGCGUUGUUCGGAAUCAUUGGGCGUAAAGGGCGCGUAGGUGGUCGUGUAUGUCUCCCGUGAAAGCCCACGGCUCAACCGUGGUGUGUCGGGAGAAACUGCAGGACUUGAGGCUGGGAGGGGCUGGUGGAAUUCCCUGUGUAGCGGUGAAAUGCGUAGAGAUGGGGGAGAACACUCGUGGCGAAGGCGGCCAGCUAGACCAGUUCUGACACUGAGGCGCGACAGCGUGGGGAGCAAACAGG